Non-coding RNA from Rattus norvegicus (Norway rat), 18515 nucleotides. The record is from RefSeq and is a predicted model, not a curated record. NCBI's taxonomy places the organism in Eukaryota, Metazoa, Chordata, Mammalia, Rodentia, Muridae.
AUAUUGGGGGAGGUAGGUCAGUGGCAGAGCUUUUGCUUAGCAUGCGUGAGACCCUGGGUGCCACCUCAGCACCAGAACAAACAAACCAACAAUAAGGAGGUCUUGAUAUCUGAAUUUUCCACAUACAAAUCCAGUUUCCUAUCAUUUGUUGAGAGGGAGUAUACUUUCCUUAAUGGAUUUUUAUGAUUUUUUUUGUUGAAAGUACAUAUAUGGAUCAAUUUCUGGAUUCUUUAUUCAUUCUGCUGAAGCAUGUGUAUAUUUCCCUGAUUUAUAGCAAAUCCUGCAAUCGGGAUAGAUGGAGAGAUGAUUCAGCUAUUAAGUGCAGUGGCUGCUGGUCCAGACAACCCAGGGUCUAUUCCCAGCACCCACACAGCAGCUCACAAACAUCUGCGGUUCUGCUUUCAUGGAUUCCGAUGCCCUCUUCUGGCCUCUGCAGGUGGACAUCCUGUUGAAGACAGUCAUUUUCACCAAUCAUUAUGAUAUGAUAUGUAUAUAUAUGCAAAUGCCUCCAGGCUGUGAUUUUCCAUACCAAAACUUAUGAAGUGAUAAUCAUCACUUCAGAGCAUCUGACACUGUCUGCACUGGGCCUGCACAAGACUGUACAUGGUCAGUAAUGAACAGGGAAGGGGCUCACAGGGCCACAUCCCUGCCCUCUCACCUACUGGCUACUGAUAAAUUCUGGUGGAGGGCCAGUCUUUAUCUUAGGUUCCCUAUCGACCAUAUCCGUAGUAACAGAGAUGGCCCUGGUUAACUUUGGUGGGUCACAAAACAAAUAUGAGAUAAAUACUUUUAGUGAAGAAGUGGGUUGACAGAAUAUGGAGAAGAUGAGAGACGAUGAUGCUAAGAUUAAUCAGAAUGUAUUAUAUGCAUGUACAGAAUUUUCAAAGAGAAAAAUUAAUUUAAAGAAGAAAAUGUAGUUAUAGAUGGUCCGUUGCUCGUCGGUUUGUGUUCAGAUGAUACUCACACAAGGAGAUGCAACCCAUGAUGGUUAAUUAGGCAUCCUUUCUGAUUUGCUGAUGGUAGUGUGAUUUUUUGUUCUUAAAUGUUUUGAAUAGAUUCACAGACGACAAAAAAAAGAGAGGGUGAAUCUAAUCAAAAUUCAUUUUAGAAAUGCUUAGAGAAUUAAUAUAAAUAUUAAAAUUUUUUAAAAAGAAAGCAAAAUGAUUUUAAAUGCUUGAUUGAAAAACAAAAAAUACAGAACCACAAAACUAUUAUGGGUAAACUGUUUACAACCAUAUAAUGGCAGUUAAGUCUACUGAAAAAUUUCUAAAUCAGUAAUUUAGCAAUCAAAUAAUAUAUGCUUACAUGAAAAAUAGGGAGUGUAAUUUUCUGGUAGGUGAAGAGUUAACAGUUAUUAAAUAGAAAAGUCACUCAUAGAAAAACUAAUCUCUCACAGAGAAAGAAAACAAACAAGAAGAUAUACAACUUUAAAAUAUCAAAGUCCUGGAGGGGCUAGAGGGGUAACCUAGAUGUUAUCAUAAAUAUUUUUGUUUAUAAAAACAUUAAAAGCUCUUAAUUAUUGUUGUCAUUCGGCAACCUCCAUUCCUCAGGAGAAGAAAUCACAAUUGGAAGGCAAGCUUGCCUAAGACUCUGACCUUUUGUCUAUAAACAUAUCCUUCAUGCUACCGCUCCCAUCCUAAAGGGACAGCUUAACUUGUGAUGAAGAAAAACUGUGUUCAAAGUUCAUCAAAAGUUGUACUUCUUUACAGCUUAAAAGCAAGUGACUUACAGACAAUUGGAAAACACAGAAAAUCAAAGACCUAUAGAAAUGCAUCAACAAGGUCCUACAGAAGACACAAUUCUCUAGAAGGCAGAAAGACCUGAGUAACACACUUUCAGAAGACAGUUAAUGAAGAGCUGAUAACAUUUUAAAUUAUUCAGAAAGUGUCAGGAAAAAAUGCAGUCCAGACCGACUCUGCAAGCCAUGAGAAGCAUCAUAUAGGGAACACGUAAGUUCGAGGAUGAGUACACAGAAAACUGUUAAGCUUGUGAGCCCGUGGAUUUCCAAACAGAAGUCCAAACUGAAGUCAGCUGGCUGGGAGGAAUAGUCAAAAAUACCAUUUCACUAGUAUAGCAAACUUUUCUGAUGUCACUCAGCAGAGUUUAAAACUCUAAAGUAUGUCCAUAAAUUCACAACAUAGGGACAUUGGCAUCACAAGCAGCCACCAUAUAUCCUGGGCAAAGCCAUUAGAAGCUGAAAUCAUCUGACUUCAAGUCUCAUUUUCUUUCAGAAGCAUUGACAUAACUGUUUGCAUUCCAUGUUCAAAUUAUUACAGACACAGUGCCUGACUGUAUUUGAAUACAUACCAUCUACUUACUUGUUUAGCAGGAAAGAGAAACAGGAAGUGAGAUGGCAACCCACUGGCCAAAGACUGGAAGGUCAUCCAGCCCAUCCACUUUCUUCAAUGACCCAUUUGAAUUUAUUCCCAAGGCCAAAAUCCCCAGUGCUGCCACUCCCCAUUUAACUUAGCCUUCACCCAAGCAUCCUACCUCUCAUACUCAAGAAACAACCUAUAAAAAAGCACCCAUUUAUCCUCAGAUGUGACUUUUUUAACCGGGCCACACCUUCCAUUUGAAAAGGAACAAAGAAAAACAAAAGAGGGAGAGGGAAAAGAGGGAAAGGGAAGAGAGGGAGAGGGAGAGGGAAGGAAAGGGAAAAGAGGGAGAGGGAGAGACUGAAGAAUGAGACUGGAGUUUGCCUUUCCUGAAGUAGCUUUUUUUUUUUUUUCAUGUUAAAAACAACACUGGCUGGCCACCUGCCCUUAGCUGACUGUUUUCCUUUCCCUAUCAGGAAGCAUAAAGCCCUAAUCCUUUGCAUUCACUAAGCAGUUAACACCUUCCUUUUUUUUUUUUUUUUUUUUUUUUUUGGUUCUGGGCCUCAAGUAAGUUUUUUGUUUUUGUUUUUUUGUUUUUUUUGUUUUUAUUUUUAAAGAAAAAGGAUGGCCAUUUAAGAGAUUUGUAAUAUCUGUUCUAAUUUUAAUACACAUAUGUGUGUGUAUUCUCUAUUUUUUCAUUUUUAAUCAAGUGUAAGCAAAUUUUAAAAAAUGACAUCCUAUACAUUUAUUUUUUAUCUUAGUCAAACAAGCCAAGAGGGCUCCUUCAGGACUACUUCUGUAAGCUUCUUCCAGAAUGAAGCUGGGAUGUGCCACUUCAGGAGUGGGAUGAUGGCUUUCAGAGGAGCAGACCUGAGAUUGUGAAGAGUCACCAUCUGUCCUUCUCACUCCAAAUUCUUCAAGAGCUGUUCUGCCUGUGGCUCCAGCCAUCAACUGCUAGCCCUCUUGCUUCCUAGGCACAGAGCUUUCUAGCUGUUGGGUUUUUCCAAGCACAGUGUCUUUCUUUACACAGCACUCACCAGUGUUUUUCAGAACAGAGUUUGCAUCAGAGUCCCAGGGAAGGGCUUGUAAAAACAAUGCUUUCCUCCUCCUGCAGAGUCUCCAAGUCAACUUAUCUAGGGUGGAGCCCUCUAAGAAUUUGCAUUUGUAACAAGUUCCCAGGUGAGGCACCUGCUACUAGAGAGGAAACCACCCAGGAGAACAAAUGCCCCAGAUCUCUCCAUUGUCCUGGUUCAGAAUCUCCAGACACACUGCCGGGACCAUCCACUAUGGAGAUAGACAUUGCAACCUGGAAUUUAAUAUCUUCUCUUUUCAUAUAGUGUUUUAGAAAUUCUUUGAGCAUUUCAUACAUCCAUACAAUGUAUUUUGAUAAUAUUUAUCCCUACUUGUCCCCAACUCCUUUUCUUUUGAGAUACAGUCUCACUACACAGACCAGGUUCCAUUUAUUAUCCCCUUGCCUCAGCUCAGGUCUACCAGUAGUCCAAGUCUGCACCACUACAGCAAGGUUGCUACAUCAAUCAACUCUCUGUAUUUUCCUCACAAUUACUUUCUCUUUGUGUACAGAGCACACAAACAUCCUGGAUCAGGCUGUUCAGAUUCAGAUACACAUCCCCCUGAUCUCUGAAGUAGUCAGUCUUCAACAGAGUCCUAGAAUGCCAACUCUUCCCAGAAGUCAUUUAUAACGCACCUUAAUUAGAACCUUCACUUGUACUUUUAUAACACUUACACAAGCCUGCCUUACAUUAUCAUUAGUGGCUAUUAUCUAGCUCUUUCUGCUAAUUACACAGGUGAGCAAUUAAGAAGAUACACCAGUGUCAAGCUUACCAGACACUUUGCUGUGUGGCACAGAACAUGGCACUUGACUGAGAGCCUUGAAGAGAUGAUAGUAUAUCUCUCUGAAGUUACUUGUGGGGAAUAAAUGAGCUAAUUCACAUAAAGUACUAAACAGCAUGAUUAGCAGAUAGAGCUCAGGAGAUAAUGGUAGUAGUUUCCUGAAAGUGUUCAUUAUCCUCGAGUUCCAUGGCAUUAUUAUGUGGUCAGGUCUCUUUCUACCUUCAAUAAUGUUGAUGUGACUGUUUGACCAAUAGACUGAGACAGACAGUGGCUGUGGUCUAAGCUCUCAGAAAUGAGUAGCAUCUACCUGAGGAAGCUCCCUGUUGGAUCCUUACCACUGUGUGAUAAGGAAGCCCCCCUGGCUUGUAGCCUUCACUGAGCUCCCAACAGACAGAAAACACAUAAGGGAGCCAUUCUGAACACAGAUGGUCCAACAUAGGUGCUUUGUCAUAUAAAGUAGAGAUGGUGAGCUGUCUUCACCCAACCUAGCCAAAACUGUACAUUUCAGAGCAGAGGAAAUGGCUCAUUAUUUAAAAUUAUGAAGUCCUAGAGUGCUUUAUUAUAUAGUAAUAGAGACCAAACAAGAACCUGGUCAUACAUCUGCAUAUUUUCUGUCCUCAAGCAGAACACGUCUACUGGUCAGAACCCUGCAGAGGGCUCAGCACAGGGUUCAGACAUUUCUAGAGGGAAAAGUCUGCUUGGCUUUCUCCUUGCAUGAGAAAACAUACAAUUUCCCAAGAAAGUAUUCCUUUUAACCUGAGAAAAGUGUUACCUUAGUCAGGUGGACUGAAGUCCUCAGAUAAAAGCCUCAGCUGUGUUCCAGGGUCUACAAAACAGGCUGACUAGAUAGGAUUUUGGAAAAGCAUCUUGCACUUACCAAGACUUGUUAAUUAUGGUCUGUGACCUUUCCCAAGUAGUAAUUCCCAAACAAGAAGAAUUGUCUAGUUGGUGCCACUUUCUUACCACCCAGCACAGCACCUGAGUUGGUGGUAAAACCCUAAGGAAUCUUCAUUAGUUAAAUGUUGAAUGAAGGCUACUGAAAACAUGUUUGGGAGAAUGAGAGCAAGCUCCCCCAACCCCCGCCCCGCCACCCCAGGAGACACAAAUAAAAAGUCUUUAAGGAAAAACCAACAGCAAAACCUUCUGUCCUGAUAUCAAGUUGCUUUGUGAACAACUGUUUUUUCUUAGAAGUUAGGAGCCAAUGCACACAUACACUGGAGUAAUUAGUUUGAAUAGCAAUCCCAGGUCUUAUCCAAGUCCCAUUAAUCUCCUCACAAACACAUACAUACAAUGUGUCACCUCCACUUAGAGUCAUCACCUUAACAAAUGUCAAUUGUAAUUGCUGCCUCAGAUCAGUUUUUCUCCCUUUCUCUGUCAAUCUGUUUCCAAAAGAGGCCAACUUAAUCUCUCUUAAACACUAUUUUUACCAUAUCCCUUUUCCUACCCCAGAGCCUACUGAGAAUCUCAACUGUCAACUGCUUGGAAUUUAAGCUCAUUAAGAAUUCAACCCAUUAACAAUGCCUAUUAAGGCUUUCUAAAAUUCUUCCACUAAUUUCCCAACCAACUUUUUCCUUCCCCAAACCCUCCUGACACCUUAUUACCACUUUCUAAAUGGGAACAAAACUCCAUGGAACCAUUGAUAUAGUCAUGCUGAGAUGUGGUUUCUUAACUCUGUCUGUGAGACUGUAUUAUUUUUGUCAAGAUACUUGAGCAGAAAGCUCACUGCCUUUAUAUUUUUGGAUCUGGCUAUACUUAGGAUUCUCUUGCCUUGGCCUCUAGUGUUAGGGUUCCAGGUAUAUGUCACCAUGCUUACCUGAUAUAUUUUCAGGGUGUCACUCCAAGAAGGAGGGGACACUCACCAAGUACUAGUCCUCAUCACCUUCAUGCUUUCACAGGUUAUUUAGAGACUUCUUUAAAAUAAUCUAAAACUUAAUUCAGGGAGCUGAUCAGAUGGUUUAGUAGUUAAGAGCACCAGUGGCUCUUGCAGAGGACCUGGGUUUGACACAUCACCUACACCAUGGCUCAUGUAACUCCUGCUCUAUGGGGAUCUGAUCCCCUUUCUGACAUCUACAGCAACCAAGCACACACAUGGCAAACAGACAUACAUGCAGGCAAAAAUUCUUACAAUAACAGAUUUGACGUUAAAAAAAAGCUUAUUUCUAUUGAUUUAUAUUUUGUGAAUGUAACUGCAUUUUAAUAUUCUAAUUACAAAAAAAUAUUCUAAUUACUUAAAACAUCCAACUUUUUUCAUGGAUAGUGCUUGUCAUUCCUCUGGCUUUCACCAUCCACCAUCCCUAGAUAGCCAUAGCUGAUAUGUAUGGAAGAGGGUGGCUUUAGGGCAAACUCCUAACACAUCUUCAAAGUGGUCUUUCAUUUUGAAUAUGCUAAAACAAACCAAUUGAAGAAACUGAGCAUGACCACAAGAGUUGAGACUAAGCAUAAAGAGAGGUCUACCAUCUUUUCUACUUGAACUGUGACUUUGUAGUGAGUAUGCUCAGGAAUGUUCUUGAAGGAGUACACUCUGGUCCUGGCCUCAAAGUGAUUUUGGUGCAUGGGCUUCCUGUAAGAAUGCCACACUUUGUGAGAGGAAGGGGCUACUUGGGAGGAAUUUCAUGAGCUUGUUACCUACUGCAGGUGAUACAUUUUCUUUACUUUUACAUUGUUUUUGUGCUUGUUUUGACUUAAAUUCACCAAGAUGUGACUGUAUUGCAUUUGGUUACAUGGCCACUUCUAAUUGGCUGGGGUGGGGUGGGAGGUUAUAUAAUGAAGUAAGUACAGGGAGAGUGUCUUAGUUAGGGUUUUACUGCUGUGAACAGACACCAUGAUCAAGUCACUGCUUAUAAAAACAUUUAACUGGGGCUGAUUUACAGGUUCAGAGGUUCAUUCCAUUAUCAUCAAGGCAGGAGCAUGGUAGAGUCCAGACAGGCAUGGUGCAGGAGGAGCUGAGAGUUCUAUAUCUUCAUCUGAAGGGUGCUAGCAGAAUACUGACUUUCAGGCUGCUAGGACUAACUUAUUUAAAGCCCACUCCCACAACGACACACCUGCUCCAACAAGGCCAAACCUACUUCAACAAGGUCAAACCUACUCCAACAAGGCCAUACCUCUAAAUAGUGCCACCCCCUGGGACAAGCAUACACAAACCAUCACAGGGAGAGAGGGAGUGAUAGAGAGUAUUAGUGUAUGAACUUCUCAAAAAGAAAAGAUCCUAAUGUCUUUCAUAGAAAGCAAUGUAGGCCUGGAUUUAACUACUUGAUGUAUUGCCUGCUUUCUUUCUUUCCUUCCUUCCUUCCUUCCUUCCUUCCUUCCUUCCUUCCUUCCUUCCUUCCCUUCCCUUCCCUUCCUUCUUUCCUUCCUUCCUUCCUUCCUUCCUUCCUUCCUUCCUUCCUUCCUUCCUUCCUUCCUUCCUUUGUUCAGACUCAAAUCAAGAAAGAGAAAUGCACUAUAACAACAGGAGACAGGUUUAGUCUAAAGAGUGAGCAGAGAAUUAGGACGGAAACAGCAGUCUAUCAGCAUUUCUGUGCCGUUCUCAGAAAUCCGUCUCCUUAAGGUACACCGGGGGAGAGUUGACAGAAUCAUAUCCUAAUUACAGAGUACAAACUCUCUAUGAAAAUUAAUGAAGGGCAAACAGUAACCAAUGAUGCUCUUUUAUGGAGUCAGAAGUUCCAUUCAAGUGAGAUCCUGGCAUUCUUGAGACUUCCUUUCUGUUUAUAAUUAUCCACAAUCUCUUGAAAGGGACCUGCAAACCACUAAACCUCAGAAGGCUAGCAAUUCCUUGUAGCUACUGUGUAACAUUUGGUAUUUUCAGCUGGGUUUGGGGGGAAAUCCUAGAAAUCCAGAGCACUUAGAGUGAAUAGAAGAAACCAGGUCAGGCAAAUGCUUAACUUCAUUGACGGAAUCAGAAGUCAGAUGGAAACUGACACACUUUGGCCUGGAGUUUCCAUUCCUAAAGCAUGGGUGUUGUCAUUGACCUCCAGGGAUUUCACAGAAAAAAAAGAUAAUGAAUGUGAAGUAUCCGGAUUAUAAACAAACCCUUAAACUGUUAAGUCUGCUUCCUUCUCCAUAUGCUUAAAUUUCACCCAUUAGAUAAUUUCAAAAACAAAAAAAGGGUCCACUGUUGAUGGAUGGGAGAAAGAAGUUAUGGGAAAGUAACUGUUUUAGUUUAAAAGAACACAAAGCCUAGAUCUGUGUUUUCUACUUUUAGAUAGUAGCAUGUAUAAACAGAAGUAUUCAUGCCCAUUUGAAAAUAAUUCCAUCAAAAAGAUCUAACAUAAUAUAAAUUCUAUUCCCAAAAUGUGGAGAUGUGGGAAACAGUGUGACAGGCCAGUGAGUGGGGCUAUACAGGGAGUAAAUCACAAGUCUAAAUUCACCAUGACCAAAGUCCAAAGUUCUAACACAGUGCAGGACCCUAACUGGAGCUGUGUGGGGAACAGAGUGGCAAAGGAAAGACAAGUGAUUCUCUGGUCCAAUUUUCACUGUGCUGCUCUUCACAAGUUGCCAACACCAAGCGUUUUCAAAAUUCCUAAGUCCUACUUGGAAGGGAAUGGUUUUGUUUAAGAAAAUGCUGUCUGACAACUGUAACAAAAGGCGUUACUCUUCCUAGAAGGCACUGUCCUAACUGACCAGCAGGCUUCCAGGCGGGAGCUGCUCCCACUGGCCCUUACUUUUCUCUAGCUAAUGGCAUGUGACUUUCCAUAAUGCCUGUCUGAUCCCACAGAACCAGUUAUUUCCAACCUGGCCUCAGGCUUGCCAAGAGGAUGGUGGAUUUGGCUGACUGCUGUGGCUCUUACCGGCCACUCUGAUUUGAAAGAGUGUUGCUUCUCCCAGAAGGAAUAAGAGAAUACACCACAGAAGUCAGGAAAAGGGAAGGAACCAAGAUCUGGCCUAUACUUCUCAUAGUUCACUGAGAUGAAAAGGUUUGUAGGAAGAGUAGAAGGAUCUUUUUAUGAAGACAGUCUACUGUAGACUUGAUUAUAGGUUGAUAAAUUAUGGUAUUUAAUCCUUAUAGUACACACAAGUUUGUGGCUAGGCCAGGCCAGAGUUGUGACAAUUAAAUAUCCAUCCACCUUACAGACACAUGUAAACUGCUGAUCUCAUAUUCAGAACCUAAUCAAAUUAUGAUGAUGAUGAUGAUGAUGAUGAUGAUGAUGAUGAUGAUGAAGAACAAAAGAUAUGAAAUAGUUGGAACUAUUUGAGAGGACAUGUACCUGUAAGUGGGGUUGUUGUCAGAGGGAAGACAAAAACAUAUUCAUGAAACAAAGUGGAAAUCAUUGUUUUUUGUAAAAUACAACAGUACAGCUUAGUUUUUCUGUCCAGAUUUGAAUAUAUAAAACCACGUCUGACUUACACUAUAUUAAAAUUACUAUCCACAGAGACUUUACCAUUAAGACUUAGUAGUGAGAUGGGUAUGACAUGCAGGAGACUGAGGCAAGAGGAUUACCUGAGCCUAGGUAAAUGACAAAAGCCUAAAAGCAUAAGGAGGUCUCACCUCUAAACAAAACAAAAGAGUGAAAAGAAGUGAAGCCAGACAACAUUACUUAAGGAAACCAUCACACCCAUAUGAGAUACAGUUCCAUAUUGAUACAUUUGCAAUACGGAAUCAGUGCUGGACACUAAGUAGGGUCUCCACUGUGUUUCCCAGAGUGAUUCAUCAGAAGGAUUCCAGGAUGAUGUUUGUUUACUCCAACGAGUGCUGUUUCUGUGGAGCUGCUGAGUGAUAACAGAUACUCCAGUAGUCUACACAAAUAUAUCAGCCUGCAUGGAUGCUUGAGGACUGAAUGGAUUCAGACCCUGUUGGAAGAUGCCUGCCACUCUUGACAAGCUCCUCCUAGCCUGUGUAAAAGUAGUCUUUGGCCACUUACCCUAAUCUACACAAAAGAGAGAGCUUAAAGGGAUUUGAAUACAACAAGUAAGCAUUGGGCUGACACUCUUUAGGAAGAAGGCAACCAAAACAAAAUCAAACAAAAUAAAACCCAUGUGAUUUAAAAAUCUAAAGCGAACUGAGAUAAAAUUACAUUUGGAGAAAAUAAAAUUUGAAGACAGAACUUUGUGUUUUGAAAAGAUGCCUGGUGGGGGACUUUCCUGAUCAGUCUUAAUUUAAACCAAUCUGUAAUAACACUCAUAAUCGGCUAAAUCUCAAUGAUCUGAAGAAAACCACUUUGUUGCUAAGCAAUAAAAGUAACUAAGAAGCAGCAUUGUGUGGAUGUCCUGGGAAGGGCCCAAGAGACUCGAUUCUCACAUUAUCCCUGGGGACUUGCUGCAGAAGCACCCUGGCUCUCCUACGUUCCUCCAGCACUUUUGGAUUGGUGAUGUAUUUAAAUUAUUUAAGUUAAAUAAAUUGAAACUUUUAUUGAACAAUUCAAUGUACCGUAAUUUAAGAAAAAAAAACCCAUCAUUUAGAAAAUGCACACUAAUCAUUCAUAGUUAAACAUCCCUGUGGCUUCUCACUGUGAUCAGGGUGAUAUAAAAUGCAGACACCAUGUCUGUCACUAUCUGUCCACAGCCUUGUUUCCUCUCCUCUCAUUGCAUUCACUGUCCCUUCUGCAACUGAUAUAAAUAUCCCUCGUCCUUCCUUCUGAAGACCUUGUGCUUUCCACCUUUGCCUGAACUCGUUCUUCCAGCUGAGUUCACAAUAUGGCAGGUCUAGGGCUAAAUUACCUUCUGUCCUCUAACACGUCGAUCUAGAUAACACUAUCCCCUUCAUUCUCCCUCAUAGCAUUUGUCUCUUUCCCUGCACAACAGAUUACAAUGUUAAUAUUAUUUCAUUUUCUUUAGAAAACCAGACACCAUUAGCAUGAGGCUGUUUCCAUACUUUGAAUUCCUAUGUUUGGAAUGCAAUCUAACUUAGUGUAUAAACACACUGAAAACCUAAUUUAGAUGAAAAAAAAUGUAACAACAAUUGAGUGUCAGCCAAUCAGGAACAAUCAAGCCUCAGGCAAUCACUAGUUUGCCACAUGAUCAGCCCAUGUUCAAAUAAAACAAAGGAUUAACUGAAACCAAUCAGGCUACUCUCUUACUUUACUUGUUCUGUCUAUAAAGACUCACUAUCCAUAUAGCCCAGUACCUGCUUUGAACCCUCUGGUUACCCAUUCCACAAGCCAACAUUUUGUUCAGCUAAAUUCUCAAGUAUGACUGUCUUUUUUUUCUCUUGUCAGUUAAAUGUCCAUCUCUUCUUAUGGAGUCUAAAGCUCAAGAGAAAGAAACCAGGUCCACAUUUUCUGCUGUACUCAUGAUAUCCGGGACAAGCAAAGAACAUCACAGAGACAGUUAACAUCUGUUGAAUGAAUGAAUGCAUAUGCCUUCUCUCUUUCUUUCUCCUUUCUUUUCAAUUACCACUUGAAAUAUAGGAUAUUGUUAUCCUAACUUUAUUUCAUAAAACAGUGGUUGCUAUGGCAGUCCUCUGAGAGGCCCCACCUAGCAGCUGACUCAGACAGAUCCAGACUGAUCUGGAUCUGGGUAAAGCCAAACUGUGAAUGGAGCUUUGGGGACUCUAUUGAAGAACAGGAGGGAGGAUUGUGGCCCCAAAGGGGAUAAGAACUCCACAGAAAGACAGUCAAAUAACCUGGACCCAUGGGGCUUUCAGAGACUGAUCCACCAAUCAAAGAACAUGCACAGGCUGGACCUAGGCCUCCCUAUACAUAUGUAGCAGAUGUGCAGCUUGGUCUUUAUGUGGGUCCUAAACAACUGGAGUCAGGGAUAGCCCAAAAGCUGUUGCCUGUCCAUAGGAUAUGAUCUUCUAGCUGGGCUGCCUUGUCUGGCUUCAGUAGGAGAGGAAAUGUCUAGCCUUACAAAAACUUGAAUUACAAAGGUGGGGGGAUAUCCAGGAGGGCCCCACCUGCUCAGAUAAGAAGGGCAGAAGGCAAGGGUGGGGGAAGAUUGUGGGAGGGGUGGCUGGGAGGGGUGCAGUGAGCCGGAUGUAAAGUGAAUAAGUAAAAAAAAAAAUAAGUAAAUAAAAAUAAAACAAUAAAAAAAAUGAUGGCUAUAGAUGGUGACAUGAACUAAAAUCUCAGCUACUUAAGAGAUCAAGGCAGAAUAAUCACAUUCUGGGAACAAAUCAAGACUCUGACUCAAAAAACAUCAGUAUAGGGUUAGGGCUCAACCUCAGUGGCAAAGUGCUUGCCUAGAAUGCUGGUUAGAUUUUGUCAACAGGACACAAGUUAGGGGUAUGUGGAAAGGAGGAAUCUCUACUGAGAAAAUGUCCCCAUCAGUGUGACCCCCAAGGCAAGCCUGCGUGGGCAUUUUCUUGAUUAACAGUUGAUGCAGGGGUGAUCCAUCCAUGGUGGUCAGUGCCACUCCUGGCAGGUGGUCCUAAAUUGUAUCUGAAAGCAAGCUGAGCAAGCUGGGGAAGGGGUAAGCACUUCAGCUUGAGUUCCUGCCCCCAGACUCCUGCCUGAAGCUCCACCCUGAAAUGAACCGUUUCCUCUCCAAGUGGCUUUUGGUCGAGGUAUGUAUUGAAGCAACUAGGAACAAACUGGAAAAUUAAGCAAGGGCCUGGGUUCGAUCUCCAGUACCACAAACAAGCAAGCAAGCAAAUAAAAACAGACUUACAGUUUGACUCAGAAAACAGAAAAGGUAGAAGCAAAUCUCCUAACUUCCCUGCUAACUGUUCUAACCAGAGGAAAAACGGUAGGAUUCUGAGGGUGUUGCUUCGAACUCUUAUUAUCUUUCUCUAGACAAGAAAUAACAUUAAUCAUACAUAUAAGGAAAAAUCUUCCACAAAUCCCUAACUUGUAGCUUAGUCUUUGAGUGUUCAGAUAAUAUGGCUAAAAUGUUACCAAAAAUAUCUGAAAGAACAUCUUAAUUUUUCAGGUCAUGGUGACUGGAUGGUCCUUGUGACUGUUAUCUUCAAGUCGUGCAAAAAAACCAUAGCCCUGCCUUCCUCUGUGUAACUGACUAUGCACUGCGCCCAGUUUGGAGGGAUCCAUCGCUGAGAUCCACAAGUGCCACUGGCGGUUUGGUUUGCUCACAAAUGUUUUCAUAAUGUGUUAGUAUUCGGUAAGGAAGCUUUACUCAGUUAACUCUCUGGAUCACUGACUGGGCCCAGACUGGUAACCUAAACACUUUGCUUUUCCAGCAUCCUCACUGAGUCAGUAGAGUUGGACACUGACCUAUGACAAAACAGACUUGAGUCCCUGGUCCUCCUCUACCACACGUAACAAACCCAGCAGGAGCAAGAAAAACCAUGAUAUAAGAGUCAGAAAGCAGAUGCUGUGUGAAUGGACUAUAAAAGGUCACGCAUGAGCCUUGUGGCCCAGCUUUAUUUUUCAUAGUGGAUCCCUUUCCCCCGCUCUCUAACCUACUCCCAUUCUUGGGAGUUCUUUGCUUUUCUUACUAAAUCAGCUCUAUCUGCAAUUUUCUGAGGAAUUUCCAAAUUGAUUUCCAGAGUGGUUGUACCAGUUUGCCAUCCCCUCAGCAAUGGAGGAGUGUUCCUCUUUCUCCACAUCCUCAAUUACAUGUGUAUGUUGUCACCUGAGGUUUUGUUCUUAGCCAAUCGGAUCGGCGUGAGGUGGAAUCUCAGAGUCAUUCUGUUUUGCAUUUCUCUGAUCACUAAGGACUUUGAACAUUUCUCUAGGUGCUUCUCAGCCUCUGUUGUGAAUUCUUAGCUUAGUUCUAUACCUCACUUUCUGACUGGGUUGGUUGGUGUUUCAGUGGUUAGCUUCUUGAGUUCUUUAGAUAUUUUGGAUAUUAGCCCUCUAUCUCUACUUCUUACUACAUUACCAUGUAUCCCUGGGUACAAUUCUGGGGCACAAGAAUCAAGAAACGCUAGUAGGUGACCUCUGGCCUCAGACCUGUGCUUAUAACAGCACCUUGAUUUCUUAGCAUAUAGAGCAGCCUUUUCCCUCUGUAUUCUAUUUCCUUCUUUUAACUCAUGGUAAGCAUUCGCUAAAGAAAAUAAAAUUCUCAGGAAGAAAAUCGAUAGUUUUACUUCCUUCUUACUAGACAAAAUACAAUAGUAUUUUAAAAAAUCACUGCCUAUUUGCACUUUAUGAAAACUGGUUUUGCUGCAGAAAUGACUCAAAUUCCGAUCACUGCCUCCUCCUCCUUUUGGAUAAACAUGGAAACAUCUUAUCUCCAUGGGCAGGAAAAGAAAGGAUUGAAUUUGUUUUCAUAAAUUCAGUUCUGCUCACCAAAUCCAUUCUUUACAAUGCACAACAUACACAAAACAAAUAUACUUUUGUCAAUCAGUUGUCAUUGUCAGCAAUCAUAGGGCAAUUUUUGAAAGACAAAACCCUUCAUGUUUUACUUCGUUGAAACCAAUGAAAAGGCAGAUUAAUAUUACAUAUCAACACUUAGCACACAUGCUGUACAAGGUAUGCUCACAAUUCAGUGCUAUUCACCGAGAGCUGUUUUUAUAACUACUUCUGUCUGGCACUAGGGGCCCAGGUCAGCGGAAGGAUGGGCACCUGCUUAUUCUGUGGGAAGCCCUGAGUUAACUCCCCAGCACCAUGUGUUCUAUAUCAAGAUUCCAACACCGAGAAUUUCAAUCAUAAACAUGUUUCACUUUGAAAAGUAAAAGCACUUAAGUUCUGGAAGAGAAACUACACUGCAAUUUUAAACAGUAAAAUAUGUGACAUAUUGGGAAAGGGUCAUAAAAUUUGUCAAAAUGGGCAUUUUCAGAUUCACCUUUAGCUUUGAAGGGUCAGUGUUUCCCCCAUGAAACCACUGUAUCAUAAUGGGUUCAAAUUAUUUAGAGUACUUACGUUCCUUUUUUCCCCUCAUAUAAAUUCUUUAAAGUGACAUUUCUAGUGGUCAACACAACUUUAGAAUGGUGCUGAGCUCAUGGGAGCAACUGUGCCUCUCAGAGUAGACCUUCCUUCUCCUCACAGCUGUUGGCAAUGCCCAAGCACGGGUUGGGGGAAGGCCAAUGUGGAAUGCUGCUGACUUUCUGAAGGUAUAUUGGACACUUUCUCCUCCCUUCAGAACCAUCUAACCCAAAUAUCAACAGCCCUGAGGUUGAGAAAACCCUACUUUAGUUUAAAUAUCAUUUAAAAGCCCAACGAGUAGGACCGGCUUUUAUUUUUCUUGAUUAUAAAAUAUAAAUCGAAUUACAAAAACACUAAACACUGCUUGGUGACAAUUCGAGAAAAGCAAAGUCUGGCAUAAAUGACACUCCUGGGAAGAAUUAAUUUUACAAUAUCCAAAGUCAAGACAGAACACUUCUGGUGUACAGUGGCUCUAUUUCAGGCACUUUAACUUCACCUUGACUUUCUGCCUGGUAUCUAGUAGGUAUUCAUUGAAUACGUCUUUGUUUAUCUUGGACAGGGUCUCACUAUGUGGCUCGGCCUCAACCUCUCAAUCCUCCUGCCUCAGCCUCCUGCAGUGCAAUAGCAAGCAUUUGCCACCCUGUCCAACUCCAGGAACUCUUGAGCGUGAGGCAAAGAAAGCUGCAAGCUAAGAGAGGCUUGCGGUUCACUCCCCCCCGACCCCGUCAUCUUACUACACACUGGCAUGUGGAGUGGCCCAAAAUCAAGCUUCCACCACACAGAGGACUCCAAUUCCCUCAGGAGGAGAGUGAAACAGAAAUAAUCCAGGCAGUUAAAUGAGGACUUGGCAAAGAGCUGACUCGCAGCUCCCACCACUGAGCUUCAAAACACUAAGAGAGAGAAAGAAACUUCUACUGUAAUUUGGGUCUCCUAUACGGCUGUUUACACAACCUCUUGCAUAGGUAUUUAUGCCAUCUGAUCGUCCCCAAGGUUACUGGAGCUGAAGGCUCAUUUUACGUAAAUAAAUGCUAAAAUGGCCAAGUUUUUAAAAUUCCAAUGCAAAUAACUGAGAAUCCACCUCCCACAGUUGGCCUAUUUAUAAAGUUAGAGAGGAGGAUUUUCUAUCCUUAGUACAGUCAAUUUUCAUUUAUCUCCCGUAAGAAAAGGGGAAAGAGGCAUACUGAACCGACUGAUGUCAGUAGUCAGGGCUGCUGUUUUAAAAUACAAUCUUCUUCUUAACAGAAAAGGGCAUUCUUAGAAGUGGGCCUGGUGAUACAUCCUUGCAAUCCCAGCACCCAGGAGGCAGAGGCAGGGGGGAAUCCAAGUUCACAGCCAUCUUGGCCUACAGAGCAAAACAGGUGGAAGACUAUUGUUUACAAAAUUUUUAAAGUCAUUAUUGUUAUAAAGCUAUGGGAUUUUUAUAUGGAAAGUAGUUUUGAUCUUAAAAACAAAAGCAUUAAAAAUGCCAAGAUACUGCUGGAGAGAUGCUCAGUGGUUAAGAGCACUGACUGCUCUGCUCUUCCAGAGGUCCUGAGUUCAAAUCCCAGUAACCACAUGGUGGCUCACAACCAUCUGUAAUGGGAUCCAAUGCCCUCUUCUGGUGUGUCUGAAGACAGCACAGUGUACUCACAUACAUGAAAUAAAUAAAUAAAUCUUUUAAAAAAAUGCCAAGAUACAUAUUAUAAUUAGUCUUGCCCCAAUCUUAUAUUUAUGGACCUUUCUGAAAAGUCUCUUGCUAUGUAUCCAAUGAUCAAUGAAAUCGUUAUAACUUGAAAGUCAAAACAACCAGGGUCAUGUGAUUUAGAAAGUGAAACAGCUUGGUCUGAAACACAUUUCUUGGUUGGUUUGUUUUCCUUUUCUUUUUCUUUUUUAAAGAUUUAUUUAUUUCAUGUGAGUGCACUGUCGCUAUAUUCAGACACACCAGAAGAGGGCAUUGGAUUCUAUUAUAGAUGGUUGUGAGCCACCAUGUGGUUGCUGGGAAUUGAACUCAGGACCUCUGGAAGAGCAGUCAGUGUUCUUAACCGCUGAGUUUAAUUAAUCUGGAGAUUCAAUUCCCAUGUAAAUGUGUACCUGAAACACAUUUCUAAAUUCUAAAAAAUCUGGGUGCUUCACAAAUCUAAUGCAGUUCAGGGUAUAAAUUAGUUAUCCCUUAUUUCAGUUAUUAAGCUCAAAUAUCUUUAUUUUAUACUUAAAAAAAACCAAAAUGUAUUUUAUUUGUAAAUACAUGCUAUACUGGUUACUGCUUAAAGAGUUUUGGUUCUUAAUCUAUAGAUAAGUUUAUCUACUAAUAGGAAAUAAAAUUCUUCACACCCUUUCGUCUCAAUUUCUGUCUGUGGCAUUAAUUGGCCAGUAGGCCACACUCUUCUGCAGUUAAGGAAAUGGGUACUAGAAGGCACAUUUGGACCCAAGUAAAUAUUUGACUAGUACAACAGUAAAUCCUGACACUUGAGUCUAUUCCAGGUACCGCAGGUUUGCGAAAAUUCCAUCAGUACCCACUCUUUAAACCAGAUCUCUAAAUAUUGAAAUAAAUCAUAAACAUCAUUUUGUUAAGAAAGCUUUUAAGAAGAUCUCACAUGCUGAAUUCCAUAGAGGCUCUCUGUGUCAAUGAGAAAGGCUCCUGUAUAAGCCCAUGUGUGUUCCUGGACGUCUCUUUUUCUUUUAGGGCUUCACAUAGUCGGUUUGUUUGAUUUCCAUCUUUCAACAUAGGAGACUGGUCUUGGCUAGGGCCUCUCCACAGGCUAUGCUGAAGCUGGGCAGAACAUUUUUGCUUUCUUAUCAACUGGCUCUUAAGGGGCAGAGAGGAGAGUCUGCCGCACAUCUAUGAUCUUGUUUUCCUUCUUUUAUUUUCUUGGUUCUUCAAGACCAGUUUUCUCUGUGUAUCCCUGGGUGUAUUGAAACUCACACUAGAGAUGAGGCUGGCCUUGAACUCCUGUCUGACUCCAGGAAGUCCUCUUCAAACCUUUAAAUGUACCUCAGUUUACUCCUCUCAUUAGAAUAUGAAACAAAAGAGGAGUUCCUUUUUAUCAAAAAAACAACUUAUCUAAAUUAUUUUUAAAAAACUGAAUUUUCUGGAGAUUCAAUUCCCAUGUAGAUGUGUACCCUUUCUUCCUUUAGUUCUUUCUUUCUGUUUGUUUUGUUUUGUUUUGUUUGACAAGAGGUCUUGCUAUGUAGAGCACAUGUGUUUCGAACUUACAGUGAUCUCCUUGUCUCUGCCUUCCCAGUGCUGAGCUCCAUUACCAGCAAGCCUGGCUAAAUACACACUUUUAUUUUGGGAACUUAACCAGAAGUCACUCACCAUUUCAGUAAAACCACCUUACAGUAUCUGAGUCAACAUGAUGGUAGGCGUGGAUCAGGAUUCUCUUUCAACUGUGUUUUUAUAGCAAAGCUAUAAAGAGGUGCAAUUGGCCAUAAGCUCAUCAUAUCUUCAAGGGAACAUGCACAUAAAUGGCAAUUCACAUUUUUCCUGUUUUUCUUUUAUUGAAGAUAGAUUUUUUCCAUACAUUCUGAUUACAGUUUACCCUCCCCCAACUCCUCUGAAUCUCCCCCCACUUACUCUAAGUUACUUUUCCAUGAGGGAGCAGGAAACGAAUGUCAUGAUCCACUGAGAUUUUUACUUUUAUUUUUUGGCUCUUUAUUACAUCCUCCUUAA